UACAGGGGGUGCAAACGUUGCUCGGAAUUAUUGGGCGUAAAGCGCGCGUAGGCGGCUACCUAAGUCGGAUGUGAAAGCCCCUGGCUCAACUGGGGAAGUGCACCCGAAACUGAGUGGCUUGAAUACCAAAGAGGGUCGCGGAAUUCCCGGUGUAGAGGUGAAAUUCGUAGAUAUCGGGAGGAACACCAGUGGCGAAGGCGGCUGCCUGGGCCUGGCCUGACGGCUGAGGCGCGAAAGCGUGGGGAGCGAUCCGG
This 254-nucleotide ribosomal RNA is filed under the name uncultured bacterium. RNAcentral's name for it is "partial 16S ribosomal RNA". It matches the Rfam family "Bacterial small subunit ribosomal RNA", at positions 524 to 776 of the family's 1533-position model. The record is from RNAcentral.